GUUUCUGUAGUGUAGUCGUUAUCACAUUCGCCUUGCACGUGAAAAGUCCCUGGUUCGAAACCGGGCAGAAACA
Non-coding RNA from Stegostoma tigrinum, 73 nucleotides. Lineage: Eukaryota; Metazoa; Chordata; Chondrichthyes; Orectolobiformes; Stegostomatidae. The record is from the annotation of a RefSeq genome assembly.